Molecule: long non-coding RNA, 221 nt
Filed under: Setaria italica (foxtail millet)
Lineage: Eukaryota; Viridiplantae; Streptophyta; Magnoliopsida; Poales; Poaceae
Description: long non-coding RNA (SITA_LNC000288)
Source: RNAcentral
UUUUCUGUGCCUAAUGUCUCUUUUGUACCUCAGUUGUCCAUGAUUCUUCUUUCAGUUGGUCAAAUAGCAUAUCACAAUUAUUUUGUUGGAUUUGAUGACUCAUCUUGUUUUAUUCAGGAUCGUCGAACCGGGGCCAUCGCCGUAGAGGUUCUUCUUGUCUUUAUAUUCUUGACACCCUGCGUCUUCCUCAGUCAUCUGCUCGUGUGUCAUCCGCUGCUUCG